Molecule: non-coding RNA, 896 nt
Organism: Peromyscus maniculatus bairdii (prairie deer mouse)
Lineage: Eukaryota; Metazoa; Chordata; Mammalia; Rodentia; Cricetidae
Source: RefSeq, a predicted model, not a curated record
AUCCCUCCCUAGAGCCACAGCCAAGAGCAAACACCUUCAAGUCCUCCAGGAAUGGGCCUGGCUUCCUUCUGCCUUUGUCAGAGGGCUCCCGGGGCCACAAAAUGGAGGGGCCGAAAGCAGAAACCCCAGGAAGAAAUCAUCAGCUUCCACCUCUCUUCCAGGGUUCCGUUCACUGAAGCCCAGCGAAGGCAGCUCCAGUUCAGAGCCACACAGGCGUGGGAUUCCAGAGCCAGUCCUGUGUGCCUAUCCUCUACGCUUCUCAGGGGGCUGAGGAGGUGGGAAGGAAACUCAGACAUUGUUGUUGAGGUUGUCUCCAUUCGUGGCCGGCUUCCAUACUUUCUUAGGACUUGCUCCUUCUCAGGGGUCAAGUGGAUCAUGUAUUGAGCUGGCCUGUCUCCGUGGUCUCCUGUGAGCUGAGACAGUUUGCUCAUUCUUUGCCCUUCACGAUUGGGACAUUUUUGAAGAGCAGUGGCCAGUUACUUUGCAGAGUGUUCCUCACACUGGGUGUGUCUGGUAUUUUUCAUGAUUAGAUUGUGGGUCUGUAUGUUGAGCAAGAACACCACUGAAGAGACAUUGUGUCCUCGGUCGUCCCAGCAGGGGGGCAGGAGACUGCUGCCUCUGUUCCUGAUGACGACUUGACCAGCAAACGCCUAUGAUGAUCAACCAGCAUGAGAUCCUGUCUACAGAAAAAAAAGAAAAAAAAAAUAGAAUGAUAUUUGAGACCAAGCUCUCCCUGGCAAGGUGGCUUGGCAAGGAAAGGCACUUGCCACCAGGCUGCAUUCCAUCUCCAGGUCCAACAGCUCCCAUGAGUUGUCCUUCUGACCUCCCUGUGUGAACUAUGGUAUAUUCGUGCAUGUGUGUGCACAAACACACAAAUAAAUGGAUGAAUGAAUGAA